AUUUAAUAAGACUUAAGCACUUACCUAAAAAAUUCAAGUCAUAAUUGACUAUUCAUUUUAAUUUCGUUUGUAAGAGAUAUAAUUUCCCUUUAAAUUGUAUGUUUAGUUUUUGUUGGUCUUCUGAACUUCUUGUGUUGUGCUUCCUUUGUAUUGUUCAUCUUCCUUUGGCAAUUGGUGGUGCUUCUGCUGGGUAAUCCAUGUUUUAUGCUCUGUUGAUGUCGCUCAUCAUGAGUGCAGCCGUGUCCUUAAACUUUUCCAGCUUUGGUGCUGGAUCAACCACUUGAUAAUUUACUACUUUCUUUUAGUGGCUUUGGGCCCUCUUGUUUGGGUUUGGGCGUAG
Molecule: unclassified non-coding RNA, 340 nt
Filed under: Hevea brasiliensis (rubber tree)
Lineage: Eukaryota; Viridiplantae; Streptophyta; Magnoliopsida; Malpighiales; Euphorbiaceae
Source: RNAcentral